AGUGAACGCUGGCGGUAGGCCUAACACAUGCAAGUCGAACGGCAGCACAGUGAGAGCUUGCUCUUACGGGUGGCGAGUGGCGGACGGGUGAGGAAUACAUCGGAAUCUACUUUUUCGUGGGGGAUAACGUAGGGAAACUUACGCUAAUACCGCAUACGACCUACGGGUGAAAGCAGGGGAUCUUCGGACCUUGCGCGAUUGAAUGAGCCGAUGUCGGAUUAGCUAGUUGGCGGGGUAAAGGCCCACGAAGGCGACGAUCGGUAGCUGGUCUGAGAGGAUGAACAGCUAGACGGUAUCUGAGGAUCGUCCCCCACACUUGCGCGAGGCCGCGGUGCGGAAUAUUAGGCGAGGGAGGCGAGCGUGAUACAGCACUAUGGGGUGGGGGAUGAAGCAGCUAGGGUGGGAGAGCCAUGAUGGUGGUAGAGAAGAGAAGCACUUUUACCCCGGGCGGUAAUGACGGUACCGAAAGAAUAAGCACCGGCUAACUUCGUG
RNAcentral lists this ribosomal RNA (492 nucleotides) under uncultured bacterium. RNAcentral's name for it is "partial 16S ribosomal RNA". It matches the Rfam family "Bacterial small subunit ribosomal RNA", at positions 30 to 507 of the family's 1533-position model. The record is from RNAcentral.